This 253-nucleotide ribosomal RNA is filed under the name uncultured bacterium. Its description in RNAcentral is "partial 16S ribosomal RNA". It matches the Rfam family "Bacterial small subunit ribosomal RNA", at positions 524 to 776 of the family's 1533-position model. The record is from RNAcentral.
UACGGAGGGGGCUAGCGUUGUUCGGAAUUACUGGGCGUAAAGCGCACGUAGGCGGCUUUGUAAGUUAGAGGUGAAAGCCCGGAGCUCAACUCCGGAAUUGCCUUUAAGACUGCAUCGCUAGAAUUGUGGAGAGGUGAGUGGAAUUCCGAGUGUAGAGGUGAAAUUCGUAGAUAUUCGGAAGAACACCAGUGGCGAAGGCGACUCACUGGACAGAUAUUGACGCUGAGGUGCGAAAGCGUGGGGAGCAAACAGG